This 573-nucleotide long non-coding RNA is filed under the name Pan troglodytes (chimpanzee). RNAcentral describes it as "lincRNA". Lineage: Eukaryota; Metazoa; Chordata; Mammalia; Primates; Hominidae. The record is from RNAcentral.
CAUUUCCCCUCCUUGUGCUUUUCUCUCCUGUGCCACGUGAAGAACCUUGCUUCCUCUUUGCCUUCCACCAUGAUUACUCUUACCAGUUGUUUUAAUUGCUAAGACAACCCAGUUCUGCAUGAGCUACAGCCAACUUCACAAAGCUUCAGGUGCCUGGAUGUUGAGGGGCAAAUAGGACUGUUCACUGAAGGAGCUGGAGAAUGGAAGAGAAGGUUGUGUCAGAUAGAAAUAACAGAAGCUUUCUGAAAUGAAAACAGAAAUGUUACAACUUGCACCACAGUACUGGACUGAAACGAAGAUGUAACACAGCCAUAAUAAUUUAAAUUAAUAGCAAAUAAAUAAAGAAAAAAAAGAACUUCAUUGUGAGGACCAUAGUCAUGGGAUAGCUCUGUCUUUUCGGGGAAAGUGGAGUAGAGGGACAGAGUCACCCCAGGAGAAAAAAUGCUUAAAUUAAGACUCCCUGAGAGAUUGAAUAAGAGUAUGAUUAGUUCAGCCUUGCUUUCAUCCUCCACUUCCCCCUCCCACUGUAGACUUCAGUUUUAAUAAUGAUUAAAGAAUAAUGCCUGAAUCCCA